UCUAAUUCUAGCCUUCAGCAGUUUUACGGCGUAACGUGUGAGAGCUUUAGUUGGGGUCCAGGUUUCUACAUUGCCCUGUUUGGAUCAUUGGCAGCAGCAUUGCUCUUAAUUAUCAUUAUCAUUGUCAUUGUCCGUGUCAGAAAGAGACAUACGGGCACUUGGAGAAUGAGCAACUACUAUGACAGCAGACUUUCUGAUUGUGAAGUGGAUUUAUUUCACUUCUCUGCUAAAGAUCCCGACUUUUACGAUUUUAAGACUCUUACACACGAGUAACCAAUUUGGACAACCAAUUGCAGGACACAACAAAUCAUCCAGAGGCUUGGAACAUCUACUCAUUAAUCAUAUAUUAUAUACUAAUUUGUUUUUGUGAUUGAUAUGACUGUAUCUACUUAAAUUCUAAUUUAAUCGUGCUAAUAUAUAAAAAUGAACAUGUCACAAUGGACUCCAGUUAAUUCACACCACACAAAUGUUUUUUUCAGGAUUUGUUCUAGUUAGUUUUAAAUGUUGUCCUUACCUGAGGUCACAAAGAAGUGCUUUGUUUGUCAAUGAGCAAUACGGCCAUUCAGUACUGAGGAACAGAAAGUAAAAGAUUUAACAUUGAAUGAAUAUUUAAUUUGAUCCUUUCUAAAACAUGAAUGUUGGAGUUGUUUCAGAGAUAUUGUCUUCACAGUAUUUUACUGUAUACAUAUAUUUAGGAAAAAUGCACAAACUAAUUAAAAAUAUGUAUAAAAUGCCCCCAAUUAACAUAGGUUCCGCGUAUAAUAAAGACCAGGAGCAAUGUAAACCAUUGGAAUAAAUGAUUUUAAGUUAACUGAGAAGAAUGUAGUUUGCAUCAGUGUUUGCAGCAGUUUGAUUUUGAGAUCUCAGUGUCAAAUUGUGUAAUCUAAAGAAAUAAGGUGUCAACAUGCUGCUUUUCUUUCUAUCUAAUAUCUGUAAUAUGCACUUGACAGAGCAGUUAGUUAUAUUUAUUGUUACGAUGACAUCUCAGUAACACAAGCAAUACUAUUUAGCAUUCAAAUACAUGGGUAAGAAAAGGUUGAGAAACAAUCUUUCCCAUCUUCUUCGCAACACAAUACAGUGGUCAUAUAGCAGAUUCUUCUUCAAAUGAAAGCCUAAGAGGUUUAAUUGUUGGUAUCUCUCAAAGUCUUUACAAUACCCCGUCACUAGAUGGCGCACACACUCAUUUGAAUGAUUCGUUGCCUUUGCAAUGUGAGAAUAGAGACAAAAAGAGACAGAGCUUUUAAAAGUUUAAUACAUUUUGAAAAAGUGUAAUCUAAUCAACCCCGGCAGUGACCAGUACUGUCCUGUUGUAGAAUCGGGACUGUCCGGUCAGCACCAGGUAGUAAUAGCUUUAAAGAUUGAUCCAUAAAGUUAAAAACGGUAUAUACUAUACUAUAUGUAUGUGUGAGAUUUUCCAGCUAGCAUUCUCAGUAUUUGUUGUCAUGAGCCACAAGACACUACCGUUACCUGCCACUUUUACGCACAAUGAAGGCCAAAAAUCUGCAAUAUUUCAAGAGAAAAUAACUUUUAAAAAUAGUAUAUACAAGUGAACAUAUAAAAACAUCGCAGAUGUUUGGGGUUUAAAUUGCCUUAAGCAUGGACCAUUCUGUUAUUGAGUAGGCCCAUUUCAAAACAAAAAACAUCUAAAGCUUUUAAAUCAAUUUGUCACCAUAUAGAUCUGAUUAAAUUAAAAUACUAUUAAAAAUGAUCGGCUGCAUUUAACUAAUAUAUAUUUCACAUUUCUUUUCUUUGUGUUUACAAGACCAGCUGCUUGAUACUUGAUAACAUUUGGCCUAAAUAUCCCCUUUAACGAAGUCAAACACCUGAAUGUGACCUCUGGUUAUGUUUGUAUAUCAUUUACCAGCCACUAAUUGGUAGCUUUCGGUGUUUAGCCACCUGCUCGAGUGUUGUAAUAAAAGACACUUUUUUUGUUUGUUUUUUAGCUUCGUGAGUUUUAUACGUCAGCAAAUUCGAACAUUCGCCGUUAAUAUCCCAGCAGUUAAACUCGUUAGCAGAGACACGUCGCUAGUCGGCUCUGCUAUUAGCUGCUAAGUUAGCGGUUGUUAAGCUAACUGGGCCCCACCAGGCCUCCAACAGCUCCGCCCCCUCGUAAGGGUGUAUUGUAACUAUAAAACUAGAAGACUUCCUGUUACCUACACAGACCGGGAGUCGGUCAUAAACGUUUCCUUUUGCAGCCAUAACCAUAAAUGAUUCAUUA
Molecule: non-coding RNA, 2218 nt
Organism: Gasterosteus aculeatus aculeatus (three-spined stickleback)
Lineage: Eukaryota; Metazoa; Chordata; Actinopteri; Perciformes; Gasterosteidae
Source: RefSeq, a predicted model, not a curated record